This 27-nucleotide small RNA is filed under the name Bombyx mori (domestic silkworm). RNAcentral describes it as "ovarian small RNA-9375". The record is from RNAcentral. Lineage: Eukaryota; Metazoa; Arthropoda; Insecta; Lepidoptera; Bombycidae.
UUACUACUUUCAAUAAACGAAAACUGU